Molecule: ribosomal RNA, 210 nt
Filed under: Triticum aestivum (bread wheat)
Lineage: Eukaryota; Viridiplantae; Streptophyta; Magnoliopsida; Poales; Poaceae
Description: partial small subunit ribosomal RNA
Source: RNAcentral
AUGAAUAUCUUGAGUUUGAACUGUCGGGGGUGCGGGCGACCCGAGACAGUUCAAGAGAUAUGCAGUUUGAUUAGAUUGCAUCACCCGUCACUGGUCUUUCUCUCGGAGACCAGAUUGUCUGAUAAGAGAGCUCAAGAUCUUAAGUUCCGUUUUGGAUUUAGUAAUGCUUUUGGUGUGAAGAGUGAAGGACUGAGUGGUGGCUUGGUCCUU